UGGGGAAUAUUGGACAAUGGGCGAAAGCCUGAUCCAGCCAUGCCGCGUGUGUGAAGAAGGUCUUCGGAUUGUAAAGCACUUUAAGUUGGGAGGAAGGGCAGUAAGCGAAUACCUUGCUGUUUUGACGUUACCGACAGAAUAAGCACCGGCUAACUCUGUGCCAGCAGCCGCGGUAAUACAGAGGGUGCAAGCGUUAAUCGGAAUUACUGGGCGUAAAGCGCGCGUAGGUGGUUCGUUAAGUUGAAUGUGAAAGCCCCGGGCUCAAACUGGGAAAUGCAUCCAAAACUGGCGAGCUAGAGUAGGGCAGAGGGUGGUGGAAUUGCCUGUGUAGCGGUGAAAUGCGUAGAUAUAGGAAGGAACACCAGUGGCGAAGGCGACCACCUGGGCUCAUACUGACACUGAGGUGCGAAAGCGUGGGGAGCAAACAGG
Molecule: ribosomal RNA, 429 nt
Filed under: Pseudomonadota bacterium
Lineage: Bacteria; Pseudomonadati; Pseudomonadota
Description: Proteobacteria bacterium partial 16S ribosomal RNA
Rfam family: Bacterial small subunit ribosomal RNA
Source: RNAcentral